CGCCUGUUUAUCAAAAACAUCGCCUCUUGCAACUCAACGUAUAGGAGGUCCCGCCUGCCCUGUGACUAUAAGUUUAACGGCCGCGGUAUUUUGACCGCGCGAAGGUAGCGCAAUCACUUGUCUUUUAAAUGGAGACCUGUAUGAAUGGCAUAACGAGGGCUUAGCUGUCUCCUCUUCUAAGUUAAUGAAAUUAAUCUUCCCGUGCAGAAGCGGGAAUAAAUCCAUAAGACGAGAAGACCCUAUGAAGCUUUAGACAAAAGGUAGACCAGACUACAAAGACCCCCGAAUAACGGGACAAACCAAAUGGACCCUGCCCUCCUGUCUUUGGUUGGGGCGACCGCGGGGAAAGAAAAAACCCCCACGUGGAACAGGAGUACUGCUCCUUAAGCUCAGAGCCACAGCUCUAAGAAACAGAAUUUUUGACCUAAAGAUCCGGCAAUGCCGAUCAACGGACCGAGUUACUCUAGGGAUAACAGCGCAAUCCCCUUUUAGAGACCAUAUCAACAAGGGGGUUUACGACCUCGAUGUUGGAUCAGGACAUCCUAUUGGUGCAGCCGCUAUUAAGGGUUCGUUUGUUCAACGAUUAAAGUCCUACGUGAUCUGAGUUCAGACCGG
Molecule: ribosomal RNA, 615 nt
Filed under: Eleginops maclovinus (Patagonian blennie)
Lineage: Eukaryota; Metazoa; Chordata; Actinopteri; Perciformes; Eleginopidae
Description: partial 16S ribosomal RNA
Rfam family: Bacterial large subunit ribosomal RNA
Source: RNAcentral